GCUCCUGUCGGAAACAACUUGGAGCAGACCACUGUGAGGGAAAAUAAGGGUACAGAGAAUCGACCUAACUAACAUUAAUAAAAUCCCUAACUAAACCAACCCAACCUACAACAAGGUCAACAUUUGUAGACCUUUCAUAUUGCCAGUUGGGCACUAAUGAGAAGUCAUCAAUGGAUUAGGAGCAGCAUCCACAUUUCUUUCCCUGUCCACAGUUCACCAUGGUAGGCACUGUCCUUUGAAACAAGCUCACAAACAGCAGGCUGGAGCAUGUAAAAGGGGUCAGGAAAAAUCUGGACGGCAAACUUGAAGAAGAACCCCAGUGUGGAUGCUCAUCUUGCUAGGAUAGGAAGGAAACAAAGCCAUAUUUUCUGUCUUUGGGAAACGUUUCCAGUGAUUCUGAACCCUUGCUCUUUACACUAGAGC
Vidua chalybeata is the source of this 423-nucleotide long non-coding RNA. RefSeq lists it as uncharacterized. The record is from RefSeq and is a predicted model, not a curated record. The transcript has 3 exons. NCBI's taxonomy places the organism in Eukaryota, Metazoa, Chordata, Aves, Passeriformes, Viduidae.